ACUUUAGACUGAGAGACGCUGCAAAAGAAGCUGUGUGUGCUUUUAGCACGGAGAGAUGCCGGAAAGUUCUGAUGGAUUUAUGGCUUGUAAAUAAACACUCUUAGAGAUAGCAACGAACUGUCUCUGGACUUGAUUUAUCCCUCUAUCUCACACGGACGGCAGGACUGCUGUGACUCUGUUUUCCUGCCCAGGUCAGCCCCAAGCAGAACUACGCAGGGAAGUGCUGACUGGACGGCAGGAUUUAAUGGCCAAAGGUUAUGGGUCUUCCGUGUUUCCUGCCAAGUGUGAGGAGGGAAGAAGGCUGCCAGCUUUGAGCUGCUUUGAGCUCCUGCCAGGAAGGGCAGUGGGAGACGCUGGUGGAGAGCGGAGCCAAGAGGAGGCUGCUGCGGAGGACCAGCUAGCUGGCAACACGUGAGUACGCUUAAGCCCCGGGGGGAGGAAGAUGGCUGCUCAGCCACAGCAAGGCCAUGAGAGCUACCCCGGUGAAAGACUGAAUGGGGCCAAUUGGGAAGCUGGUCUAAGCGCAUGUACUACUGGCUGGAAGAAAAACAGCUUUGGGAGUGUACACAGGCUGAACCAGUUCUUGCCCAGCCCAGUGCUGCAGCUGCAGAGGCUGAGAGGUCUGCAGGAGCAGUGGAAGCUUGUGAAGCAGACGUGGCUGCUGCUCUGGAGAGAGAGCAAAGGGUGCUAGCCAUUUUAAGGGCCAGCAUUGAUGCUUGGCUGUUGCCAAACCUUCAAGGGAAGAAGCCCUGGGUCGCAUGGCAGGCACUGAAGACGGCAUGUCAGGCUGCAGUGGGAGCCAGACCAGAGGGGGCUAAAAAAUGCCCAGAGAGAGCACUAAGCCCAGAGGGGGCUGGGACUGUUCCGGGAAGCUGUUUCUAUGCUUCGGCACGUCUGUGUGAUGGUCUGGGAGACAGGCUGAGAGCUGGGAAGAGGAAGGCAGUAGCAAUCUGUUCCUCAGGCAGCUGGGCACCCAGGAAUGGGGGUGCAGGCCGUUCCAAGAGCUCUGGGAAAGCCAAAGUCUCCAAGAGUUGUUUGUGCUCUGAGGCAAAGUCCAACAGCAAAGGGCAUUGUUCUGCAGAGGCGUUGGAAUGCAAGGUCAGCCACCUGCUAAGGCAGAUAAGCAACGGUUCUCAGACGGCGAAGCGUGAGAACACCGGCAGAAGCCUUGCAGCAACCAUGGCAGCCAGGAAGGACACUGGCAGAGACCCUGGUGGGGGUGCGAGCAUCGCCAUGGCAACCUUGGAAAACUUUAUCUCUUGUUGUCGAUACGGGAGCGACCCACAGCCUGGUGCCAUCUGGUGGGCUCCUGAGAAAUUGCAAGACAGUUAAAUCUGGAUGUUUUAUCACGAUGGCAGAUGGUUCUAAGAGACAGUUAACUGAGACUGGUUUUUUAUACUGUCCCUUUCUAGAUCAUGAGGUGCAAGCUUAUGUGGUCCCUGAGCUUGCUCAUUCUCUUUUAAGUGUAUCAGCUCUUAUUGCUGAUGGGUUUGAUGUGGUGUUUACUAACAACAUGUGUUAUUUCUACAGGGAUGGGGGGAAGGACAGGCUUUUUCUGGUGCAGAUGCCUGUCACUGAUGCUACUGUUGCAGAGUCCCCUGAAGAAGCACAAGUGCAGUGUGCAAAUGUACCACCACACCAUGAUUGUUUACAUUUGUGGCAUCGCAGAUUCGGACAUGCAGGGUGGUCAUAUAUUAAGAAAGCCGCAGAGAACACAAUUGGGUGUGGGUUCAAGGCAUGUACUUAGAUUGUCAAGCUUGUAAAAAAUCAAAGGUCACGACAUGCACAUAUCCCAGGUCAGAAAGGAGGACCAGCAAACCCUUUGAGCUGGUUCAUGCAGAUUUAUGUGGGCCGAUGCAGGUAGCUUCUUUAAGUGGAUCGAAGCAUGUUUUGGUUCUGAUUGAUGAUUUUUCAAGACACACCUGGCUGUUUACACUUAAACACAAGUGGGAGGCGGCUGCACUGAUCAGGGAUUGGAUCACAGCGGUAGAGCUGCGUUUCUCCGCCAGGGUGGUUUCCUUUCAAUCUGAUCGGGGGGCGGAGUUCACAGGUUCUGCGCUGCAAUCUUUCUUCAGGCAGAAAGGUAUCAGUCAUCGAUUGACUGCCCCCUACAGUCUGCAACAGAAUGGAAUUGCAGAGAGAAAACACCACACCCUACAGGAAGCAGCGAAUGCUAUGCUGGCAGACUCGGGUCUGCCACAGCGCUUUUGAGCCGAGAGUUAUAAGACGGCAUGCUUUGUUCAGAACAGGGUGUUCAAUUCAAGUGUGGGAGACACGCCCUACUUUCUGCUGCAUGGGAAGAAACCCAAAGUGGAUUUCUUGCGUGUGUUUGGCUGUGAGGCUUGGGUCCUCAUUCCAAAGGCCACUCUCAGAAAGGGUGAACCAAGAUCUAGAAAAAUGAUAUUUGUAGGCUAUGAGCCGGGCUCAAAGGCAUGGCGUUUCGCAUACCCUACUGGCAACCAGUCUAAGCUGCUUAUUAGCGGCAGUGCUGAGUUUUGCGAGCAGAGUGGGUGGAAACGUCUUCACGGGAACCCAGAUGUUCUGUUUGACUCAGAUGAGGAAGAGGAGGAGGACGAAGCUGAACCUGUUGCUGAGGUGCACAGUCCACAGCCACAGAGUCCAGAGCCGGGAUCUCCAAGGGAGAGGCUCCGAACCUCUUCAAAGGGGAGUCCCAAGACCCCUCCACAGGUCUCUGUCAAGUCUGAGCCAGGGAGUGAGCCAUCCUCACCAGCAGACCCAGCUGUGAGGCCAAAAAGGCGCAGCAGGUCAGAGGGGAAGGUUUCUGACACAGGGGAUGGUGUGGCUGGCCCAAGUGAAUCAGGCGCAGUUCCAGAGUCCACGCUGAGGAGGUCAGCAAGGUCAACCAAGGGAAAGCCACCAGAAAGGUACGAAGCCACUAGCGUCUGGGUAGGUGUGGCUAGAUGUGAACCUGAAUCCUUUGAGGAUGUUCAGAAGUUGCCUCAGGAAGAAGCUAGCAGAGAGUAAAAGGCUCUGUCUGGCCGACACCUGGGCUCCCAGGACUGCUGCCGCCAGCACCGCCAGUGGAGAGGAAUCGGGGGUGCCCGGGUGUCUAUCAAAGGAGCCAAAACAACCCCCCCACGACUGAGAUUGAGCUGGAAAGGCACCCGACCACUACCCCCAACAGCCGAGAGGAGCUCCAAAACCAGGAGGACAGUGGAGCUAACGCAAAGAGGGAGAAAGAAAGGGGGAGAGAGGAAGAAAAAGAAAGAAAGAAAGAAAGAAAAAGGAGCUGCCCCCAUCUCUGCCGACGGGAAAUAAGAUGAGAGGUAGGUGAGCACGGGAAGGCAAAAGAGGCUCCGAAAAAACAUGUGGCUGAGCCCGACCGGAGCUCCAGCGGCAAGGAAAACACAGAGAAGCUGCAUGACAAAGGAGAUCGCAGAAAGGAAGAAACUACCUUUCCCCCCUUUCUUUUUUUUAACCCCUUUUUUUAACCCCUUCCUCCCCCUCCCUCCCCCCUUAAAAAAUAUAUAUAUAUCUUUUUUAUCCCUCCCCCCCCAUAUACCUACUUUUAUCACUUUUCUUUUUAAAAGAGGGGGCACUGCUGCUGCAGCCACCCUUUAUUUGAAUUUUUAUUUUUAUUUCUACCUUUUCUACACACUGUCUAAAGACACACUUUUCCACACACACACCCUCAAUUUAAACCUCAUUUUAUUUUCACCUCAAACUCCCGUCUUAAGAAUUAAAAUGGCAGUAUCCAUAAAAGAGCCCUGAAACAACACAGGUCAUUUCCUGGGACUGCCACUUCGCCCCAGACUUUCCACUCUCUUUUACCUAUCCUCUUCGCACUUUACACAUUUUUAAAAAUAAAAUAACUUUAUCCAUCUAUAUAUAUAUAAAAACAAAAAACCUUUUUUUUUAACCUUCAUUUCUCAUUUUUAUCUUUUACCCGUACAUUUUAAUUACUUUUUUACAAACAAAGGAUAAUAAUAAUAAUUAGGGGAAAAUAGUUUUUUUUUUAAAGAAAAAAACACACACAAUUUCCCCCCCUCUUUUUAAAGCCCUUUCUAUUCUAAUUGUUAGCUUCUUCUUGAGGGGGAAAUCCUUCGCCCCCUGCUAUGACCACCACUCUCUUUU
This is a non-coding RNA of Podarcis lilfordi (Lilford's wall lizard), 4095 nucleotides long. The record is from the annotation of a GenBank genome assembly. NCBI's taxonomy places the organism in Eukaryota, Metazoa, Chordata, Lepidosauria, Squamata, Lacertidae.